GACGAACGCUGGCGGCGUGCCUAAUACAUGCAAGUAGAACGCUGAAGGAGGAGCUUGCUUCUCCGGAUGAGUUGCGAACGGGUGAGUAACGCGUAGGUAACCUGCCUGGUAGCGGGGGAUAACUAUUGGAAACGAUAGCUAAUACCGCAUAAGAGUAGAUGUCGCAUGACAUUUGCUUCAAAGGUGCAACUGCACCACUACCAGAUGGACCUGCGUUGUAUUAGCUAGUUGGUGAGGUAACGGCUCACCAAGGCAACGAUACAUAGCCGACCUGAGAGGGUGAUCGGCCACACUGGGACUGAGACACGGCCCAGACUCCUACGGGAGGCAGCAGUAGGGAAUCUUCGGCAAUGGACGGAAGUCUGACCGAGCAACGCCGCGUGAGUGAAGAAGGUUUUCGGAUCGUAAAGCUCUGUUGUAAGAGAAGAACGAGUGUGAGAGUGGAAAGUUCACACUGUGACGGUAUCUUACCAGAAAGGGACGGCUAACUACGUG
RNAcentral lists this ribosomal RNA (495 nucleotides) under uncultured bacterium. RNAcentral describes it as "partial 16S ribosomal RNA". It matches the Rfam family "Bacterial small subunit ribosomal RNA", at positions 28 to 507 of the family's 1533-position model. The record is from RNAcentral.